Molecule: unclassified non-coding RNA, 335 nt
Filed under: soil metagenome
Description: partial contains 5.8S ribosomal RNA, internal transcribed spacer 2, and large subunit ribosomal RNA
Rfam family: 5.8S ribosomal RNA (bases 1-120)
Source: RNAcentral
GAUGAAGAACGCAGCGAAAUGCGAUAAGUAAUGUGAAUUGCAGAAUUCAGUGAAUCAUCGAAUCUUUGAACGCACAUUGCGCCCGCCAGUAUUCUGGCGGGCAUGCCUGUUCGAGCGUCAUUUCAACCAUCAAGCCCCCGGCUUGUGUUGGGGACCUGCGGCUGCCGCAGGCCCUGAAAACCAGUGGCGGGCUCGCUAGUCACUCCGAGCGUAGUAAUACAUCUCGCUCAGGGCGUGCUGCGGGUUCCGGCCGUUAAAAAGCCUUAUUUACCCAAGGUUGACCUCGGAUCAGGUAGGAAGGCCCGCUGAACUUAAGCAUAUCAAUAAGCGGAGGA